RNAcentral lists this ribosomal RNA (694 nucleotides) under Tephritis praecox. RNAcentral describes it as "partial large subunit ribosomal RNA". It matches the Rfam family "Eukaryotic large subunit ribosomal RNA", at positions 943 to 1588 of the family's 3401-position model. The record is from RNAcentral. Lineage: Eukaryota; Metazoa; Arthropoda; Insecta; Diptera; Tephritidae.
UCUAGUAGCUGGUUCCCUCCGAAGUUUCCCUCAGGAUAGCUGGUGCAUUAUAAUAUUAUGUUAAAUAAUCUUAUCUGGUAAAGCGAAUGAUUAGAGGCCUUAGGGUCGAAACGACCUUAACCUAUUCUCAAACUUUAAAUGGGUAAGAACCUCACCUUUCUUGAUAUGAAGGUUGAGGUUAUGAUAUAAUGUGCCCAGUGGGCCAAUUUUGGUAAGCAGAACUGGCGCUGUGGGAUGAACCAAACGUAAUGUUACGGUGCCUAAAUUAACAACUCAUGCAGAUACCAUGAAAGGCGUUGGUUGCUUAAAACAGCAGGACGGUGGACAUGGAAGUCGUAAUCCGCUAAGGAGUGUGUAACAACUCACCUGCCGAAGCAACUAGCCCUUAAAAUGGAUGGCGCUUAAGUUGUAUACCUAUACAUUACCGCUAAAGUAGAUGAUUUAUAAUACAAUUUCGAUUGAAUUAUAAAUUUUGAAACUUUAGUGAGUAGGAGGGUACAAUGGUGUGCUUAGAAGUGUUUGGCGUAAGCCUGCAUGGAGCCGCUAUUGGUACAGAUCUUGGUGGUAGUAGCAAAUAAUCGAAUGAGACCUUGGAGGACUGAAGUGGAGAAGGGUUUCGUGUGAACAGUGGUUGAUCACGAGUUAGUCGGUCCUAAGUUCAAGGCGAAAGCCGAAAAUUUUCAAGUUUUAAUGC